CCCACUUUAUUCUUUCUGACGCACAGUAGGUAGAGCAAUCGGCUGUUAACCGAUCGGUCGCAGGUUCGAGUCCUGCCUGUGGAG
This 84-nucleotide transfer RNA is filed under the name Listeria monocytogenes. Its description in RNAcentral is "tRNA-Asn". The stretch from base 21 to 76 matches the Rfam family "tRNA", at positions 10 to 63 of the family's 71-position model. Rfam says of the family: Transfer RNA (tRNA) molecules are approximately 80 nucleotides in length. Their secondary structure includes four short double-helical elements and three loops (D, anti-codon, and T loops). The record is from RNAcentral. Lineage: Bacteria; Bacillati; Bacillota; Bacilli; Caryophanales; Listeriaceae.